GGGGCGUUAGCUCAGUUGGUAGAGCAUCGGCCUUUUAAGCCGCUGGUCAUAGGUUCGAAUCCUAUACGCCCCACCA
RNAcentral lists this transfer RNA (76 nucleotides) under Gammaproteobacteria bacterium. Its description in RNAcentral is "tRNA-Lys". It matches the Rfam family "tRNA". Rfam says of the family: Transfer RNA (tRNA) molecules are approximately 80 nucleotides in length. Their secondary structure includes four short double-helical elements and three loops (D, anti-codon, and T loops). Lineage: Bacteria; Pseudomonadati; Pseudomonadota; Gammaproteobacteria. RNAcentral also lists the same sequence under 1 other name. The record is from RNAcentral.